RNAcentral lists this ribosomal RNA (1192 nucleotides) under wastewater metagenome. RNAcentral describes it as "bacterial LSU rRNA". It matches the Rfam family "Bacterial large subunit ribosomal RNA", at positions 1131 to 2325 of the family's 2925-position model. The record is from RNAcentral.
UGCGUAAUAGCUCACUGGUCGAGAGUCUCUGCGCCGACAAUGUAACGGGGCUAAGAUAUAAACCGAAGCUGUGGAAUGUACGUAAGUAUAUUGGUAGGAGAGCGUUGUGUAGGCCGGUGAAGGUGUACUGAAAAGAGCACUGGAGGUAUCACAAGUGAGAAUGCAGGAAUGAGUAGCGAAAAAGAGGGUGAGAAUCCCUCUCGUCGGAAGUCCAAGGUUUCCAGGGCAAUGCUUGUCAUCCCUGGGGAAGUCGGGACCUAAGCUGAGGCUUAUAAGCGUAGGCGAAUGGAAAACAGGUUAAUAUUCCUGUACCAGUUAUGUUUUGUGAUGGAGGGACGCAGAAGGGUAGAUACGCUAGGCGACGGUUGUCCUAGUGCAAGCAUGUAGUGUGGUCAGAUAGGAAAAUCCGUUUGAUUAGACAUGAGGUGUGAUGCGGAGCACGUAAGUGCGGAAGGUAUUGAUCCCACGCUGCCAAGAAAAGCUUCUAACGUUAAGGCAUAACUGCCCGUACUGUAAACCGACACAGGUGGACAGCGUGAGAAACGUAAGGCGGACAGGCUAACUCUCGCUAAGGAACUCUGCAAAAUGGCCCCGUAACUUCGGGAGAAGGGGUGCCUUUGAUGGUGAUGGUUCACGCAACCUGAGCUGUCGGAGGCCGCAGUGAAAAGACUCAAGCGACUGUUUAACAAAAACACAGGUCUAUGCUAAGCUGAAAGGCGAUGUAUAUGGGCUGACACCUGCCCAGUGCCGGAAGGUUAAGAGGAGGAGUGAGAGCUCCGAAUUGAAGCCCCGGUGAACGGCGGCCGUAACUAUAACGGUCCUAAGGUAGCGAAAUUCCUUGUCGGGUAAGUUCCGACCUGCACGAAUGGUGUAACGAUUUGAGUGCUGUCUUGGCGGGAGGCCUGGUGAAGUUGUAUUACCGGUGAAGAUACCGGUUACCUGCAGCAGGACGGAAAGACCCCAUGGAGCUUUACUGUAGCUUGGUAUUGGGUCUUGAUGCUGUGUGUAUAGGAUAGUUGGGAGACUUUGAUUGUAGGCCGCCAGGUUUACAUGAGUCGUUGGUGGAAUACCAACCACGCAGUAUUGGGAUUCUAAUCUGAGGUGUGUAGCCUCGGAGACAGUGCUAGGUGGGCAGUUUGACUGGGGCGGUCGCCUCCGAAAGAGUAACGGAGGCGCUCAAAGGUUCCCUCAG